RNAcentral lists this ribosomal RNA (395 nucleotides) under uncultured bacterium. Its description in RNAcentral is "bacterial SSU rRNA". It matches the Rfam family "Bacterial small subunit ribosomal RNA", at positions 29 to 416 of the family's 1533-position model. The record is from RNAcentral.
AACGAACGUUGGCGGCGUGGAUUAGGCAUGCAAGUCGAACGAAUGUCAGUUUGGUAGCAAUAUUGAGCUGGCGGAAGUGGCGAAAGGGGCAGUAAUGCAUGGGUAACCUACCUUGGGGUUGGGCAUAGCCGUUCUAACGAGCGGGUAAUUCCCAGAGAUUCAGCGGGAGGGCAUCCUUCUGCUGGGAAAGAAUUUCGCCUCGAGAGGGGCCCAUGUGCUAUUAGCAGUUGGUGGGGUAACGGCCUACCAAGGCUAAGAUGGCUAGCGGGUGUGAGAGCACGACCCGCGCCACUGGCACUGAGACACUGGCCAGACACCUACGGGUGGCUGCAGUCGAGGAUCUUCGUCAAUGGGCGCAAGCCUGAACGAGCGACGCCGCGUGCGCGAUGAAGGCC